RNAcentral lists this long non-coding RNA (430 nucleotides) under Parus major (Great Tit). Its description in RNAcentral is "lncRNA (ENSPMJG00000012762.1)". The record is from RNAcentral. Lineage: Eukaryota; Metazoa; Chordata; Aves; Passeriformes; Paridae.
CAUUACAAUAACUGUUAAAUGCCUAUUUUGUGUCGAGACAGAACAAAAGCGAUUAGUGUUGAUGUAUACUUCAAAAUAAUGGUGAUGAUUUUUCCUGUAUUUACUUACACUAACUCGUUUCUCCCAACAGAAACUAGUGGAUGGAGUAGGAAUGGGCAUGAGAUGCUAAACCAUGGCCAGGAGUGUGGGGACUCCUCUGCUGCAAACCAGAAAGGUGAUACAGGCUGGAGUGCUUUAUCAGUCCUGGGAAUGAAAUGUAACUAAGAAGGUGGAAGAUUACUCCCAGAAGAUGGAGGGAAGCUUCUCCUCUGCAUCAAGUGACACCUCCUGUUUUCAGCCAGAUUUAAAACCCCCCUCCUGCACAGCUUCCCUCACCUGGGCAGAAUCAGAGCAUGGGAACACCAAUAAAGCAGAAUUGUCCCAGUGACCA